AAGCUCGUCUGGGCAGCAAAUAUGCUAAAAUUUGAAUAAUACAGAGAAAAUUCACAUGGCCUUUGCCCAAGGAAGAUCCAACUGACAUAACUCAAUUUC
RNAcentral lists this small nuclear RNA (99 nucleotides) under Vulpes vulpes (red fox). Lineage: Eukaryota; Metazoa; Chordata; Mammalia; Carnivora; Canidae. The record is from RNAcentral.